Molecule: ribosomal RNA, 369 nt
Filed under: uncultured eukaryote
Lineage: Eukaryota
Description: SSU rRNA
Rfam family: Eukaryotic small subunit ribosomal RNA
Source: RNAcentral
AGCUCCAAUAGCGUAUACUAAUGUUGUUGCAGUUAAAAGCUCGUAGUCGGAUUUCAGGUUUGUUGUAAUAAUCUCUAUAGACUGUUACCGCAAAUCUUCUUUGACAGAAGAGUAUUUGGCAUUGAUUUGCUGAGUGCAUCGACUGUCUCUUUUACUUUGAGAAAAUUAGAGUGUUCAAAGCAGGUUUUUGCCUGAAUAUUACUCUUGGAAUAAUACUAUAGGACUCUGGUUCUUGUUUGUUGGUUUACAGGUGCCGGAGUAAUGAUUAAUAGCGACGGUUGGGGUCAUUCGUACUGCAAAGCGAGAGGUGAAAUUCUUGGACCUUUGUAUGACGAACAACUGCGAAAGCAUUUGACUAGGACGUUCGCG